RNAcentral lists this ribosomal RNA (465 nucleotides) under uncultured bacterium. RNAcentral's name for it is "partial 16S ribosomal RNA". It matches the Rfam family "Bacterial small subunit ribosomal RNA", at positions 28 to 507 of the family's 1533-position model. The record is from RNAcentral.
GACGAACGCUGGCGGCGUGCUUAACACAUGCAAGUCGAACGGAAAGGCCCCUUUGGGGGUACUCGAGUGGCGAACGGGUGAGUAACACGUGAGUAACCUGCCCUUGACUUCGGGAUAACUUCAGGAAACUGGGGCUAAUACCGGAUAGGAAUCCUUGCUGCAUGGUGGGGGUUGGAAAGCUUCGGCGGUUUUGGAUGGACUCGCGGCUUAUCAGCUUGUUGGUGGGGUAGUGGCUUACCAAGGCUUUGACGGGUAGCCGGCCUGAGAGGGCGACCGGCCACAUUGGGACUGAGAUACGGCCCAGACUCCUACGGGAGGCAGCAGUGGGGAAUAUUGCACAAUGGGCGGAAGCCUGAUGCAGCACCGCCGCGUGCGGGAUGACGGCCUUCGGGUUGUAAACCGCUUUCAGCAGGGGCGAAGCUUGUGGUGACGGUACCUGCAGAAGAAGCACCGGCUAACUACGUG